CCUACGGGUGGCAGCAGUGAGGAAUAUUGGUCAAUGGACGAGAGUCUGAACCAGCCAAGCAGCGUGAAGGAUGACGGCUCUAUGGGUUGUAAACUUCUUUUAUAAAGGAAUAAAACGAGGCACGUGUGCCUUUUUGCACGUACUUUAUGAAUAAGGAUCGGCUAACUCCGUGCCAGCAGCCGCGGUAAUACGGAGGAUCCGAGCGUUAUCCGGAUUUAUUGGGUUUAAAGGGAGCGUAGGUGGGUUGUUAAGUCAGUUGUGAAAGUUUGCGGCUCAACCGUAAAAUUGCAAUUGAUACUGGCAGUCUAGAGUACAGUUGAGGUAGGCGGAAUUCGUGGUGUAGCGGUGAAAUGCUUAGAGAUCACGAAGAACACCGAUGGCGAAGGCAGCUUACUAAACUGUAACUGACAUUGAUGCUCGAAAGUGUGGGUAGCAAACAGGAUUAGAUACCCCUGUAGUC
Molecule: ribosomal RNA, 460 nt
Filed under: uncultured bacterium
Lineage: Bacteria
Description: partial 16S ribosomal RNA
Rfam family: Bacterial small subunit ribosomal RNA
Source: RNAcentral